ACCAUCAAGUAUCUUCCGUUAUCCCGGUAUUUUCUAAUCAAUAACCAACACCAGUUCAACAACUACAACUUCAACAACAACAACCACAACAACGAACAAACACCAACAACAACAACACUACCAACAAUCCUCAUCAAAACUUUGAGAGGAAGAAGGUCUCUUUCGACCCGAUUCAUAUGUCUUACGCAAAACUCUACCCGUCUUUGGUUCUCAAGAACCUGAUCCAACCGAGAAACC
RNAcentral lists this long non-coding RNA (237 nucleotides) under Lathyrus oleraceus (garden pea). Its description in RNAcentral is "Pisum sativum (pea) long non-coding RNA (PSAT_LNC019039)". The record is from RNAcentral. Lineage: Eukaryota; Viridiplantae; Streptophyta; Magnoliopsida; Fabales; Fabaceae.